CGGGACCGGAGGGCCCGGAGCGGAACGUGUCCCAGGAGGCGGUGGGUGUUCAAUGGGUGGUUACAGCAGACCACUGCUGUAAGGGGCCUGGAGCACUGUCUCUGCUGCCUUGAUCUCCUGGAUAUCAUAAAACCUUACCAAGAUACUCAUGAAGGUACGCAUCUUGGGAAAAAGUUUUCAAAUGGUCAUUUUGAGAAAUAUUACAUCAAUAUAUGGUCUAGCGAAGAAGAUAAGGAGGAAAAAGUAUAAGGAGGAAGUCAAGAAGGUUAUAAGACAAGGAAGCAAGAAAGAAGAAAAGAAGGAUAGAAGGAAGAAAAAGAAUGAGAAACAAGAUUCCCUGGUUAAACUUAUAGUAACAGUCUUCUAACUUCUUGUAGGUCUAAUUGUACACUUUCCUGUAUAUCUACCUUUCACUUAAACCUCAAGAAUGUUCUGUUGGCAUGGAAUCCUCCCAAGAAAUGGAAAGGGCAUGAGCAAUGAAUUAACAUAGCUAUACAAAUUUGUGUAUAUAAAUGUUUGUUCAUGUUUGUACAUUUUUGUGUAUUAACUCAGGUUGAACAUACAUGGUUCGCAUGUGGUGGUCAGAGGACAGCUUCCAGUGUCAGUCUUUGCUACCCACCUUGUUUAAAGACAUGGUCUCCUUGUUGUUAGGAUAGUUAGUGAGCUUUGACCUUCCAGUCAUUUUCCUGUCUCCAUUCCUUUUUACCAUAGGAAUGCUGGAUUAUAGACACAUUGUCCUAACUUUUAUUUUUCUCUUGCUGUCAUAAAAAAUCUAUAACUACUGGGACAUAACUCAAGACUUUCUCAGAGUUCUUGAUGACACAACAAAGGGUACUUUAGUUCUAUGUCCUCAUCCAGGAAUUGACUUGGCAAGGCCAGUCUAGGCUGAAGCCAGUGCCUUGGAGUCAUAACUGCGGUUUCCAGAGAUCUGAUUCUUCAAUCCUGGACUGUGGUUAUCAGUUCUAAGGCAGCUGUGUCUGAAGUCUCCAGUGUUCUCUUAGACAACAUUGUCUAAUCUUUCUGCUGAACUUGGUUCCCCCCACCUUCCCUGCUGUAAAUGAUAUAUAAGAUGCUGUACUUCUUAAUAAAUUUGUUUGACAUAAGUCACCACUUCA
Long non-coding RNA from Meriones unguiculatus (Mongolian gerbil), 1115 nucleotides. RefSeq lists it as uncharacterized. The transcript is spliced from 3 exons. Lineage: Eukaryota; Metazoa; Chordata; Mammalia; Rodentia; Muridae. The record is from RefSeq and is a predicted model, not a curated record.